UAGUGGCGAACGGGUGAGUAACACGUGGGCAAUCUGCCCUUCACUCUGGGACAAGCCCUGGAAACGGGGUCUAAUACCGGAUACGACUGCGGAAGGCAUCUUCUGCGGUGGAAAGCUCCGGCGGUGAAGGAUGAGCCCGCGGCCUAUCAGCUUGUUGGUGGGGUAAUGGCCUACCAAGGCGACGACGGGUAGCCGGCCUGAGAGGGCGACCGGCCACACUGGGACUGAGACACGGCCCAGACUCCUACGGGAGGCAGCAGUGGGGAAUAUUGCACAAUGGGCGAAAGCCUGAUGCAGCGACGCCGCGUGAGGGAUGACGGCCUUCGGGUUGUAAACCUCUUUCAGCAGGGAAGAAGCGAAAGUGACGGUACCUGCAGAAGAAGCGCCGGCUAACUACGUGCCAGCAGCCGCGGUAAUACGUAGGGCGCAAGCGUUGUCCGGAAUUAUUGGGCGUAAAGAGCUCGUAGGCGGCUUGUCACGUCGGAUGUGAAAGCCCGAGGCUUAACCUCGGGUCUGCAUUCGAUACGGGCUAGCUAGAGUGUGGUAGGCCAGAUCGGAAUUCCU
RNAcentral lists this ribosomal RNA (564 nucleotides) under Streptomyces sp. 384F11. Its description in RNAcentral is "bacterial SSU rRNA". It matches the Rfam family "Bacterial small subunit ribosomal RNA", at positions 93 to 671 of the family's 1533-position model. Lineage: Bacteria; Bacillati; Actinomycetota; Actinomycetes; Kitasatosporales; Streptomycetaceae. The record is from RNAcentral.